GCCGCGUGAAGGAUGAAGGCCUAUGGGUUGUAAACUUCUUUCCUCAGAGAAGAAUUUUGACGGUAUCUGAGGAAUAAGCAUCGGCUAACUCUGUGCCAGCAGCCGCGGUAAGACAGAGGAUGCAAGCGUUAUCCGGAAUGAUUGGGCGUAAAGCGUCUGUAGGUGGCUUAAAAAGUCUCCUGUCAAAGAUCAGGGCUUAACCCUGGGCCGGCAGGAGAAACUCUUAGGCUAGAGUUUGGUAGGGGCAGAGGGAAUUCCCGGUGGAGCGGUGAAAUGCGUAGAGAUCGGGAGGAACACCAAAGGCGAAAGCACUCUGCUGGGCCACAACUGACACUGAGAGACGAAAGCGAGGGGAGCAAAAGGGAUUAGAUACCCCUGUAGUCCUCGCCGUAAACGAUGGAUACUAGAUGUUGGAUAGGUUAAAUCAUUCAGUAUCGUAGCUAACGCGUGAAGUAUCCCGCCUGGGGAGUAUGCUCGCAAGAGUGAAACUCAAAGGAAUUGACGG
Molecule: ribosomal RNA, 505 nt
Filed under: bacterium enrichment culture clone KR 1979/21_DG24bf
Lineage: Bacteria
Description: bacterial SSU rRNA
Rfam family: Bacterial small subunit ribosomal RNA
Source: RNAcentral